GGGCGGACUGUUAACCUCGACCGUGGAGAGAGCGAUCGCUGAGAGCACAGAUAGAUCUGUAUGCUCAGCUGAUAACCGUGAUGCUGAUGGGCUGUUACCACGGAUCCGUGUCGAGCUAACGUGAUAAGCAUCCGCUUGAGACUACGCCACGAGGCUAAAAACUCAAAAGAUAGUCGACGGGGCCCCGCACAGCGGCGGAGCAUGCAGUAUUAUUCGAUGCAACGACGAGCAUCUUUACGUGCGUCUCGACAUGCUCCCGACGAUCACAGAUGAUGGGGGUUUCUCCUUCGGGGGCGUGUUCAGCAGGUGGCAGCAUGGUCGUCGUCAGCUCGUCGUCGAUGAAGAUGUUGGGGUUUAAGCCCCGCAACGAGGCAGCAACUCCUCGCCGCCGUUGUUACCAGAGGAUUAUGCCGGGAACUUCACGGGGGGACCGCGGGGGUUAACUCGGAGGAAGGUGGGGAUGACGUCUGAUCAUCAUCCCCAUUACGUCCAGGUCUUCAAGCAUGCUACAAUGGCCGGUACAACGGGAUGCGCCACGACGAGCUGAAGCGGAUCCCUGAAAACCGUUAUCAGUUCGGAUAGCAUUCUGCAAUUCGACGGGGUGAAGGCGGAGUCGUUAGUAAUCGAGAAUCAGCAACGUGGCGGUGAAUGCGUUCCCGGCCCUUGUCCCCACCGCCCGUCAAGUCAUGAAAGUGGGCACCACCAGAAGCCGGUGGCCUACCCCCUUGGGGGAGGGAGCCUUUUAAGGGGAGGUUGGUGAUGGGGAAUAAGUAGUAACAAGGUAGCCGUACCGGAAGGGGCGGCUGGAUCUCCUCUUUUCUACGAAGAAUACGGCCGGAUGUUCUUCCGGCGGUGCGUCCCCCGGCGUCGCGGCAGUCGCGGCGUUUGGGGGCUGCUGGUGUGGAAGAGAUCAUGGGCUUUCGGUGCGUCCGUGGGGGGAUGUUCCGGGGGAGUGGGGUGGAUGCGCUUUUGGGCUCCCGGAUCGCCCCCCCAGGCUUCGGCCUGGCGCGAUUCGAUGCCCAUCGUGCCUGAUGGCGGGCUGGUCCCGUCCGGACGGCGUGGUGGUGCGUGGUGGCUUGAGAACUGGAUAGUGGACGCGAGCAAGACGGGGUUUCCUUUGAUUCCUCGUUCUUGCUGUUGAUUUCGAAUCGAACUCUAUUUUUAGUGUUUGUUUCGAUCGUUUUGUGAUCAUUUUAGUGUGAUGAUUUGUCGUCUGGGAAUUUGCUAGGAAGGAUCCUUGCGGCCAUGCGCACCGGGGGCCGG
Molecule: unclassified non-coding RNA, 1263 nt
Filed under: Bifidobacterium sp. 127
Lineage: Bacteria; Bacillati; Actinomycetota; Actinomycetes; Bifidobacteriales; Bifidobacteriaceae
Description: partial 16S-23S ribosomal RNA intergenic spacer
Rfam family: Bacterial small subunit ribosomal RNA (bases 1-819)
Source: RNAcentral